RNAcentral lists this ribosomal RNA (1000 nucleotides) under uncultured bacterium. RNAcentral's name for it is "bacterial SSU rRNA". It matches the Rfam family "Bacterial small subunit ribosomal RNA", at positions 356 to 1376 of the family's 1533-position model. RNAcentral also lists the same sequence under 1 other name. The record is from RNAcentral.
GGGGGAUAUUGCGCAAUGGGGGCAACCCUGACGCAGCAACGCCGCGUGAAGGAUGAAGGUUUUCGGAUUGUAAACUUCUUUUAUUAAGGACGAAAAAUGACGGUACUUAAUGAAUAAGCUCCGGCUAACUACGUGCCAGCAGCCGCGGUAAUACGUAGGGAGCAAGCGUUGUCCGGAUUUACUGGGUGUAAAGGGUGCGUAGGCGGCUUUGCAAGUCAGAUGUGAAAUCUAUGGGCUCAACCCAUAAACUGCAUUUGAAACUGUAGAGCUUGAGUGAAGUAGAGGCAGGCGGAAUUCCCCGUGUAGCGGUGAAAUGCGUAGAGAUGGGGAGGAACACCAGUGGCGAAGGCGGCCUGCUGGGCUUUAACUGACGCUGAGGCACGAAAGCGUGGGUAGCAAACAGGAUUAGAUACCCUGGUAGUCCACGCUGUAAACGAUGAUUACUAGGUGUGGGGGGUCUGACCCCUUCCGUGCCGGAGUUAACACAAUAAGUAAUCCACCUGGGGAGUACGGCCGCAAGGUUGAAACUCAAAGGAAUUGACGGGGGCCCGCACAAGCAGUGGAGUAUGUGGUUUAAUUCGAAGCAACGCGAAGAACCUUACCAGGUCUUGACAUCCAACUAACGAAGUAGAGAUACAUUAGGUGCCCUUCGGGGAAAGUUGAGACAGGUGGUGCAUGGUUGUCGUCAGCUCGUGUCGUGAGAUGUUGGGUUAAGUCCCGCAACGAGCGCAACCCUUGCUAUUAGUUGCUACGCAAGAGCACUCUAAUAGGACUGCCGCUGACAAAACGGAGGAAGGUGGGGACGACGUCAAAUCAUCAUGCCCCUUAUGACCUGGGCUACACACGUACUACAAUGGAUGUUAACAGAGGGAAGCAAGACAGCGAUGUGGAGCAAACCCCUAAAAACAUUCUCAGUUCAGAUUGCAGGCUGCAACCCGCCUGCAUGAAGAUGGAAUUGCUAGUAAUCGCGGAUCAGCAUGCCGCGGUGAAUACGUUCCCG